Long non-coding RNA from Melozone crissalis (California towhee), 413 nucleotides. RefSeq lists it as uncharacterized. NCBI's taxonomy places the organism in Eukaryota, Metazoa, Chordata, Aves, Passeriformes, Passerellidae. The record is from RefSeq and is a predicted model, not a curated record. The transcript has 3 exons.
CCUCCCUCCUUCCCUCCCUCCUUCCCGCUGCCGCCGCCGGAGCGGAACCGAAAGCGAAGGCGGCGCCGGGCAGCGGCGCUCCGGCCCAGCGCGGCGGGGGCUGCGGGGGCUGCGGGGUCCCGGGGUCGCUCCCCGCCAGGUUUGGGUACCUGAGUUCUGCACAAAAAGCCACAGGGCAAGGAGCAGAAAUCACCAGCAAUGAUGGACUGUGGGAGGAAGCAGUGAGCCAGGGGGCUGGUCCUGCACCCCAUGCUUGGCACAUCUCCCCAGCACAGCAUGGCCAGGAUGAGGCCAUCGGUCCCUCCACGCCGCCACGUGUCCCCAGCAGCUCGCCCGCCCCACAGCCCCUGUGCAGCGCCGGAGGCUGCGGCCGCCGAGCCCCCGCGGCCCUGCGGGACCCCCCGGCGCUGAGC